CUACGGGUCGCUCCAGUGAGGAAUAUUGCACAAUGGGGGGAACCCUGAUGCAGCAACGCCGCGUGGAGGAUGACGCAUUUCGGUGUGUAAACUCCUUUUAUAUGUCAAGAAAAUGACGUAGCAUAUGAAUAAGCACCGGCUAACUCCGUGCCAGCAGCCGCGGUAAUACGGAGGGUGCAAGCGUUACUCGGAAUCACUGGGCGUAAAGGACGCGUAGGCGGGCUUGUAAGUCAGGUGUGAAAUCCUACAGCUUAACUGUAGAACUGCACUUGAAACUACGAGCCUAGAGUAUGGGAGGGGGAGAUGGAAUUAGUGGUGUAGGGGUAAAAUCCGUAGAUAUCACUAGGAAUACCUAAAGCGAAGGCGAUCUCCUGGAACAUAACUGACGCUAAGGCGUGAAAGCGUGGGGAGCAAACAGGAUUAGAUACCCUAGUAGUC
RNAcentral lists this ribosomal RNA (438 nucleotides) under uncultured bacterium. Its description in RNAcentral is "partial 16S ribosomal RNA". It matches the Rfam family "Bacterial small subunit ribosomal RNA", at positions 339 to 795 of the family's 1533-position model. The record is from RNAcentral.